CAGUCGCCACGGUAACACCAGCAGCCCAAGUGGUGGUCGCGUUUAUUGGGCCUAAAGCGCUCGUAGCCUGACCGGUAAGUUCCCCGUGAAAUCGGGUCGCCCAACGAUUCGGCUUGCGGGGAAUACUGUCGGUCUUGGGGCCGGGAGACGCCGAGGGUACUCCGGGGGUAGCGGUGAAAUGCUGUAAUCCUCGGGGGACUACCAGUGGCGAAGGCGCUCGGCGAUAACGGGCCUGACGGUGAGGGGCGAAAGCUGGGGGCGCGAACGGGAUUAGAUACCCCGGUAGUCCCUGUCUCUUAUA
RNAcentral lists this ribosomal RNA (301 nucleotides) under uncultured bacterium. RNAcentral describes it as "partial 16S ribosomal RNA". It matches the Rfam family "Archaeal small subunit ribosomal RNA", at positions 459 to 759 of the family's 1478-position model. The record is from RNAcentral.